Molecule: ribosomal RNA, 465 nt
Filed under: Vreelandella stevensii
Lineage: Bacteria; Pseudomonadati; Pseudomonadota; Gammaproteobacteria; Oceanospirillales; Halomonadaceae
Description: partial 16S ribosomal RNA
Rfam family: Bacterial small subunit ribosomal RNA
Source: RNAcentral
CCUACGGGAGGCAGCAGUGGGGAAUAUUGGACAAUAGGGGCAACCCUGAUCCAGCCAUGCCGCGUGUGUGAAGAAGGCCCUCGGGUUGUAAAGCACUUUCAGUGAGGAAGAACGCCUGGUGGUUAAUACCCAUCAGGAAAGACAUCACUCACAGAAGAAGCACCGGCUAACUCCGUGCCAGCAGCCGCGGUAAUACGGAGGGUGCGAGCGUUAAUCGGAAUUACUGGGCGUAAAGCGCGCGUGGGUGGCUUGAUAAGCCGGUUGUGAAAGCCCCGGGCUCAACCUGGGAACGGCAUCCGGAACUGUCAAGCUAGAGUGCAGGAGAGGAAGGUAGAAUUCCCGGUGUAGCGGUGAAAUGCGUAGAGAUCGGGAGGAAUACCAGUGGCGAAGGCGGCCUUCUGGACUGACACUGACACUGAGGUGCGAAAGCGUGGGUAGCAAACAGGAUUAGAUACCCGUGUAGUC